Molecule: ribosomal RNA, 413 nt
Filed under: uncultured bacterium
Lineage: Bacteria
Description: bacterial SSU rRNA
Rfam family: Bacterial small subunit ribosomal RNA
Source: RNAcentral
UCAGCCGCCGCGGUAAAACGUAGGAGGCGAGCGUUAUCCGGAUUUACUGGGCGUAAAGCGCGCGCAGGCGGGUCAGUGAGUCGGACGUGAAAGCUCCUGGCUUAACUGGGAGAGGCCGUUCGAAACUGCUGGGCUUGAGGUUGGGAGAGGGGUGCGGAAUUCCCGGUGUAGUGGUGGAAUGCGUAGAUAUCGGGAGGAACACCUGUGGCGAAAGCGGCACCCUGGCCCACACCUGACGCUGAGGUGCGAAAGCGUGGGUAGCAAACAGGAUUAGAUACCCUGGUAGUCCACGCCGUAAACGAUGUCAACUGGGUGUUGGUGGUGUUACACCAUCAGUGCCGAAGCAAACGCGUUAAGUUGACCGCCUGGGGACUACGGCCGCAAGGCUAAAACUUAAAGGAAUUGGCGGGGGA